RNAcentral lists this ribosomal RNA (343 nucleotides) under Blastocystis sp. subtype 7. RNAcentral describes it as "SSU rRNA". It matches the Rfam family "Eukaryotic small subunit ribosomal RNA", at positions 19 to 369 of the family's 1831-position model. Lineage: Eukaryota; Bigyra; Opalinata; Blastocystidae. The record is from RNAcentral.
AGUAGUCAUACGCUAGUCUCAAAGAUUAAGCCAUGCAUGUGUAAGUCUAAAUAGUUUUAGUGUGAAACUGCGAAUGGCUCAUUAUAUCAGUUAUAGUUUAUUUGGAAUAGUUUCUAUAUGGAUAACCGUAGUAAUUCUAGGGCUAAUACAUGUGUUUUCUUUGAUGGGCAACCAUUAAAGAAGUACUUAUUAGACAUAAAACCAAUAAAAUGUUGUUGUGAGUAAUAAUAAUUGUUGACUUUAUCGCAUGCUUGUUAGUAGCGAUGUUCCUUUCAAGUUUCUGCCCUAUCAUCUUUCGAUGGUGGUGUAUUGGACUACCAUGGCAGUAACGGGUAACAAAAAA